Myotis brandtii (Brandt's bat) is the source of this 129-nucleotide non-coding RNA. Lineage: Eukaryota; Metazoa; Chordata; Mammalia; Chiroptera; Vespertilionidae. The record is from Rfam.
AUCACUUCUUGGCCUUUUGGCUAAGAUCAAGCAUAGGCAUCUGUUCUUAUCAAGUUUAACAUCUGAUAUAUCCUCUAUCCGAGGACAACGUACUAAAUGGUUUAUUGGAGCAAGGGGAAAAAAAUUUUU